GGGCCCGCACAAGCGGUGGAGCAUGUGGUUUAAUUCUAUGCAACGCGAAGAACCUUACCAGGACUUGACAUACUACAAAUUUUUCUGAGAAGAAAAAGUGCCUUCGGGAAUGUAGAUACAGGUGGUGCAUGGCUGUCGUCAGCUCGUGUCGUGAGAUGUUGGGUUAAGUCCCGCAACGAGCGCAACCCUUAUUUUUAGUUACCAAUUCGUUGGGUUCUCUAGAAAGACUGCCGGUGACAAACCGGAGGAAGGUGAGGAUGACGUCAAGUCAGCAUGCCCCUUAUGUCCUGGGCUACACACGUGCUACAAUGGUUAAGACAAAGAGUCGCAAGCUUGCAAGAGUUAGCUAAUCUCAUAAACUUAGCCUAAGUUCAGAUUGUAGGCUGCAACUCGCCUACAUGAAGUUGGAAUCGCUAGUAAUCG
Molecule: ribosomal RNA, 423 nt
Filed under: uncultured bacterium
Lineage: Bacteria
Description: bacterial SSU rRNA
Rfam family: Bacterial small subunit ribosomal RNA
Source: RNAcentral